This is a long non-coding RNA of Triticum dicoccoides, 1877 nucleotides long. RefSeq lists it as uncharacterized. The transcript has 4 exons. NCBI's taxonomy places the organism in Eukaryota, Viridiplantae, Streptophyta, Magnoliopsida, Poales, Poaceae. The record is from RefSeq and is a predicted model, not a curated record.
GUUACGGCUAUGCAACGCCUAGGCGUAUUCUGUUCGGCACACCCCCACACCUGUUUGCGGGCCUAGAGAAAUUAUAUAUGUCAGCUGCACCAGAAAGUUUGGCCCAUGAUUUGUCGUUCGAAACAGCACAGGUCAGAGGAUCCACAUACAGCCGAGCUUACCGUGUGGAGUAGAACAGAGCCACGAGACACCUUUCGUUCCCCAUCCCCUUCUAUUCCCCACAAGCGAAGGGCGGCGACGGAUCUGCUCCGGCGAGAUGUCGACGGAUGGUGUCGAGCUCAAGGGGGGCGUUGCCGGGCCGGCGGGCUGCAGUGGUUCCGUCCUACCACUCGAGUCCCAAGAUUCUAUGAGUGCCGCCAUUGCCGGGGGUGGCGCAGACGGCAAAGAACAGCCAUGUGGAAAUGCAUCCUGAUAUGAGGUGCACUGUGAAGUCACGAGUGGCUGGACACGGAGAGUGGAGUUUCAGUGAGAGCUAAUCUGCCUAUCGAGAGGCGUGCCAAUUUGGCGAAAGUAAUGUUAUAUUUGGCGAAGUAAUGUUAUAUGCAGAGUGGAGUAAUGUUUACAUCGUGGAUGAUUUUUGUUCAAUUUGGCGAAGCUCUGUACAAAGCCGGUGCAUAUGUGCUGGACGAACUAGAACUGAAUAUCACACGUAUCACACAUAUCUUCGUUGUUUCGGUCGGUGAGGCUGUAUCACACGUCAAUUACUUGUGCUUUUCUCCUAGCUAUUGUUCAUCAGUUUCAGAUUUGAACUUAUUUGGUGAUUUUUAUUUUGUUCCAUCUAUUCCUUUGGUACGGAUGAUCUAUGGCUCGAUCGAGAUGCAUAUCACUUUUCUUGUUGACUCCAAAAUAGACUGCUCUCCUUUAUUUUCUUGUAAUUCCCUUCCAUCUAUUCCUUCUGUACAGAUGUGAUUUUCUUUUGUUUGCUUGUAAUCCCGUUUGUCCGGACUGGAUAGGGCUCUCCUCAUGUUGUUGCGCAGAUCUGAAUUUGCCGUGAUGUAUUUUUGGACAAUAUAGAGACAUUUUUAUUCAUACCCAUGCUUAUGUGCCAGACCGGCUUAAUUUUUGUGGUUUCUUAGAUUCCUCUAACUUGGAUAAUCGAUGGGUUUAUUGUUUGCGGGGUUUAAAGCAAUCGAUGGUUAAUCGUACUGGAACUUAAUAGUGGAUUUGAUGUUCUGUUCGUGAUGUGCUAAUCCAAGGUUGAUAGUUAUUUCAUUCAAGUGGGGUAAAGUUUGAAUUCCUACCACUGGUUGCAAAGAUCUUCUGUUCCAUGGAUUUCAGUUUGUUUUGUUGACCCUUUCCCACUACAGUCACAGACUUGAGCAACGUUGAUGGUCAAGUGUGCCGUGGCCGCGAGGCUACAUCCCUUGCCGGAAACGCUGGUUGGGGAGCUACAAGUGCCUGGACAAGAAGAACCAUGCUGAUAUGGUCUGUAUCCUGAACCCUGAAGUAGAAGGCGUUUAAUCAGAUGCAUUUUCCUACUGUUGUGAUCUUGUAAUAUUGCCUUGUGGCCAAAUCAGCAAAAUCCCUGGUUGAAGCUGCGCAAGCUCUGGCUGUUGUUCCCUGUCAGCAAUCCAUUCGACUCGGGUAUAUGUUUGUAAUUAUUGUAAUGGAUUUGUACCAUUUGUGAACCAUGUCAAAUUGUUAAGGUGGGUGAUGGGUAUUACAAUUAUGCAUGGUUGCUAGUUCUGUGCGUAGAACUUGAUCCGUGUAUUAGUCAAAACCAACACAUGUUGUGUGUUAGCUUAACAGGAAGAAACUGCAAUUGUCAAUGAGAGCAAGAUGUCGAGAAGGGAGAUGGCCCAGUAGUCUAAUGGUUUCUGUAACGGAGUGUUUUAAUCAUCUUCGUCUGGCAAACUAUUGUUAAUUGCUUUUCCCAA